Long non-coding RNA from Piliocolobus tephrosceles (Ugandan red Colobus), 1190 nucleotides. RefSeq lists it as uncharacterized. Lineage: Eukaryota; Metazoa; Chordata; Mammalia; Primates; Cercopithecidae. The transcript has 2 exons. The record is from RefSeq and is a predicted model, not a curated record.
CAUCGUGCAGGACAAUGCUUAUGCUGCUAAGUGAGCUAAAAAAGCAGCUAGUUUCCAACUUCUAUCCCUUACUGCAGUUUUCCUCCUUCACAUCAGCCACACUCACCUGCUCCCCCGCAGGAGGAACCGUCUUGGCUACGUACUUUAUUUCUCAGUCGGCUCCAGAUAUCCGAAAAAAUUAAAAAUGGUGGAGGACGGCCCUCAAACUCCCAUCCAGGAUUUAGUCAAACUGGCCUUCAAGGUCUCCAACUCCAGGGAGGAAGCCGCUGAGGCUCAGCGACAGGCGAGGCUAAAGCAGAAGGUAGACCUCCAAACCCAGGCCUUGGUAGCAGCCCUGAGGCCGGCCGGCUCCAGGAGCUCUCCGAGAGGAGGUACUCCCCAAACGCCACCUGGCACCUGCUUCAAGUGGGGCAACAAAGGCCACUGGGCCAGGCAGUGCCCCAACCCUGAGGAGCCAACUCACCCCUGUCCGAACUGUCGGCAGAUGGGCCACUGGAAGUCGGACUGCCCCAACCUGAGGACGGUCACUACGCCUCCAUGUGAGGACCCUCCUCCAGGUACUGGAGGCGCCUUCCAGAUCCUUGACACUGAUGACAAUUAAAAGGCCCAGGCUAGAAAAUCCCUCCUACUGUGGAGGCCCACGCUGGAAAAUCCCUCCUACUCUCACAGAGCCCAGGGUCACGCUCCAGGCAGCGGCUCCCUGUGUCCUCCGCCUCAUCCAGGACCGCAUGAAAGAAGUCUCCUGAGUCACUGUCAAUCAGAUGCUACUCCACCCCUAUACCCAAGUUCCAACCUCUGAAGGACCCCACGAUGACCUAUACCAGCAGGAAGCAGCCAGAUGAACACGUCGCUCCUUUUUCUUAUUAGAAAGAGGUCGGAAUGUUAGGCAGGAAUCUAGACCCAACAUGGCGGUAUCACCCGGCAUGGCAGGCCCUUUGUUAGGACUUCCUGCCCUUCACUUCCUGCUAAGACUCUCCGCGCUGAAAAAAGCCCACACCCGCCAGAGAACCCCCGUUCUGCGCAAUCUCCUGGACACGUCAUUCCCCAGAAAUCAAAACCUAACUCAGGAAAACCGAAACCUACAAACCCCACCUACCUCGCCCUAUAAAAGGCCCCCAAUACCUUGGCCCUCCCAUUAGAGGACCAGUGAACCUCGCCCUCGAGCCCAAUAAAGGCUACCUAUGUUCUCA